Molecule: long non-coding RNA, 2820 nt
Organism: Equus asinus (donkey)
Lineage: Eukaryota; Metazoa; Chordata; Mammalia; Perissodactyla; Equidae
Source: Ensembl
UCUGAAGCCCCAGGCCCCUAUCCCAUGGCUCAAGAUGGCGUCUAUAUCUCAUUUUACCUUUCUGUCUCUGAACCCCUUAUGUAUGUGAGGUCUCUGACUCUCUCAUAUAUGUGGAGUUCCCAUACAUAUGAAAUUAAAUUUGAUUUUCUCCUGAUAAUUUGUCUUGUGUCAGUUUAAUACUUAGAUCAGCCAGAACCUAGAAGGGUAGAGGAAAAUUUCUUCCUCCCCCACAGUUGGUGUAGUUGGUAGGAUAAGCUUCCCUGGCUAGACUCUGCUCCCUCUGAGGCCGCUGCAGAGAGAUCCUGGGACAUCUGACAAGCGCCAGCAGAAGAUUUCCUCUUUCUGGACCAUUUGAGCACCUGCAGCUGGACUUCAUUCAACUGCCACUCAGACACAAUUGGAAACUGCUUACAUUGCCAAGGCUUUGAUUGGAAUGCCACAUUUGAGAAAGACAUACAUAGACUCAUAUAUAACCAGACAGCUUUAAGGAACUAAGAUUGACUUUAUGGAGCCAAUAAAGACCUUUGGAAAAAACAACCUGGUACCUUGCUUACAUGGUCCCUGACAGCCUAACCAGAAAUGCCUCUUAUUAAAUUCCUGGUUGCUGGCACUAUAGGCGUAACUUUGGGAGCCCACCUGUAUCACCACCUCCUGAAAAGAGAGAAAACUGUUUAAAUGAACUGACUUAUUCUCAGAACUAAGAGACUGGCUCAACGAGAUAGAGCAUUCUACCAGCUUAACUUCUGAAAUGUGAAACUUCUCAGGAAGUCUCAAAGGGAGCCUGAGGGAUUCAGAACAGACAGAACAAGAUCUGCCACUUUGGCAUAUGGAAUAUAUUUUGAGCUACAGGCAAUGAAGACCUUGUGGGCUCAAGAGAAAACUCUUACCUCAGCCUUAAAGAAUUUAAAUUGAGGGCCUUGCCCAUAAUAAAAAUUAUUACCAGAAAUAACUUUUUAUGACCUACAUGCAUGGUAGGGCAAACAUCUAAUUACUAAACAUCUGCUUUUCUUAUUGUCCUGUGAACUCACCUCCUCCCCUUUGAAGCCCCAGGGCUCUAUCCCAUUCCUCAACUCAGGAUGGUAUAUGUGCUUCAUUUGCCUUUCUAUCUCUGAAUCUCUCAUGUAUGUGGGGGUCUCUGACUCUCUCAUGUUUGUGGGGUUCCUGUACAUAAAAAAUUAAAUUUGAUUUUAUCCUGUUAAUCUGUUCCCUGUCAACAAAAUUCUUAGACCAGCCAGAAGAACCCAGAAGGCUAGAGAAAAAUUUCUUCCUCGCCCACAUUAGUUAAAAAUGUUUCCAUAUUCACACUCAUUGAACAAAUGUGUGUGAAGAAUUUUCUGGGUGCCCAGCUCAAUGCUCUGAACUUGGGAUAAAACUGGAAUAAGAUAGGUUUCUAACCUCAAGGAGCUCACAAAGUUGGAAGACGACAGAAGGGUGGUGAGAGAAACAUGAAACAAAUAAUGUCUUAUAACAUUGCUGUAAGUGCUAGAUGAGAGUAUAAAUUGUAGUUUGGGGAAUUAAAUUGUCUUAAAAGAAAUAUAAGAGAAAAAGUUUCUUGAAAAUAAAUGUUUUUACAGUUUAAAAGAGGUUACUGUAUCAGCUCAUUAAUAAUAAUAGUAGUAAUAGCUGCUACUUUUUUCUUUUUAUUGUCUCAUAUGUAUAAGACACUCUUUUACCUAUGUCCUUUGAUUUAAUCCCAGCUCUGAUGAGACAAAUCUUAACAGCCUCAUUUUACAGAUGAACUGAAUCAUAGUGGCUUUAAGAAUAGAAAAGCUUCACAUCUGUGCCGAUGGCUGACACAUGAUUCAGCCUCAAAGGGAUGAAAUGAACUACAUUAUCUUCUUGACUUACUUCAAGUAUUGUUAUUUUACAGUGUAUUUCCCUCUGUAGGUUGUAGUUACAAAAGAUGAAAAGUCACUGCCUUUAGGUUACCAGAACCUCGUAAUACUAUUGAAAUGGAGCUAUGUGCUAGAACAUGGAGAUGUCUUUGUCAUGCAAAACAUUCCAUUAAAAAUUUGAUAUUAACUAUUUAUCUAUACAGAUAUAUAUAUAGUUAGCAAAGAAAGCAUUUCUUCUUUCUCUUUAAGUAAACUUCUUAAAAUUUCCAUAUGAAUGAAUUCAAAGCACAAUCAAAAUAUGCACAAUCAAAAAGAGAAGUGUUCUCUUCUUUUGUAAUUCCCAAAAUGCUAAUAUUGUUAAUUGUACUCAAUAUAUUUUGAAUAAUGUAAUUUAAACUCUAGCUAUUUAACUCCAUUUUCCUGCCAAUUUAGUCAUUGUGCUCCUGCCAUAUUUGUCUCUCUUCAUAACCUAAAAUAAAGGAUGAAGGCUGAAUAAUAAAACAAAAUGCUUAACUCUAUUUUGUAUUCAUUCUGCCAUCCUUUUAUUGAAACACUUUGAAUAGUAUCUACAUAUGACUUCAAUAACUAUCAUAAUACUGUAUUCUCAAUUGAAAUGAAAUGAUAGAGACCAUAAAUAUUUGAUGUCCUUUCUCCCUAUUACUCUCUAUGUAUGCUUUCCAUCUUGAUGUCAGGGGACCAUUCUGAAGAGAGUAGGAUGAGAUUUCAUAUUUGCUAAGAGAUUUCUUUUGCAUAAUGCUUUAGAAAUGCUCAGGAAGUCAAGAGUUCAGCUGUUGAAAGUCUAUAAACCAUUGCAUAAAUUAUAGCAGCUUUUAAAAUCCUCACCAUAAAAGUCUCAUAAAAGGUUAUUUUCAUAUUUAAAAUUCACUGUGAAUUUAUUUUUUGACCAGAAAAUGACAUAAGAGUUGUCUUUAAGCUACUGUAAUUCCCAGGUGUGUUUCUAAUUAAUUAAAGUCAUGUCAAAACA